Molecule: long non-coding RNA, 1158 nt
Filed under: Homo sapiens (human)
Lineage: Eukaryota; Metazoa; Chordata; Mammalia; Primates; Hominidae
Description: HSALNT0095639
Source: RNAcentral
GCACAGGGGCACCCAUUGAACCAGGGCAGGGCCUGUUAGCUUAUGACCAGCAGGUGACCUGAUUUCCUUGUCCACUGGCACAGAGCACACCCUGCCACAGUGCAAGCCUGAGAAGCAGUGAGGACCCCAUGAAGCUGAAGGACAGGCCGAUCCCCCGAUAGACGAUUAUGUACGAUGUGAGCGGGCAAGGAAACACAAGCUGGCUUACAGGUGGAAUACCUGAGAGUCUCCAGAGAGGACCCAUGACAGACAGCUGAGACAUGGAUGGACACGAGCCCCAGAGAGACUUCAGGUAAUUCUUCUCUUCAAGUAAUGCCUCCCCAACUAGUACAUUCUAUAAGGAUGAGGAUCAUAUCCCUUCAUGCUCACCACUCUAUCCCCAAAGCCCAACACUCUACUGCUUGACUGAGAGCAGGUAUUGCAGAAAGAACAAAGAGAGAGGAAGUUGGGCACUCCAUAAGUCCAUUAGCCUUCAUCAGAGGUGAACCUCCCAACUCAAUGUUUGACAUGUGAAAAAAAAAGCAGAUCUGGCUGGAGCAGAUUCAGAAAACCUCUUAUCUCCCCCAGGCGGAUGAUGUGCCCACCGACCACAUCAGCCACGAAACCCAGCUCAUGGCACCUGGAGCUGAUGAAUGGCCCUGGUGCUGACUGCCCAGAAACCAAUCCGGAAACCAGGCUUCCCACAGAAGAGGCAGCUGGAGAGCCAAGCACUCUUGGACUACAGUCCUAGGCUGGAGCUGCCAAUACAGGCUCUGCCCAGCUAAUCUUCUCUGAGCCUGCAAAUAUUAAACCUGACAUACAGACUCAAGUGAAUCCAGAAAACAGGCUCACAGGGCAGCUGAAAAUUCCAAGUGCCUAAGUGAGAUCCAGUGCGACAGUGGAGCAUGUGUGCGCAGAGGAGACAGGAACAACAACCGGGAUGUCAUGCGGGCGCACUGGGGCUCCUUGUGGCCCCAGUGCACAGAAUUCUGGUGGACCCACCAUGUGUGGGAGCUCAGUGAGACUCAAAGUAAGUGCAAGGCCCUCCUCACACAUCGUACGCUGAAGGUGGAGCACACUGGGAAAAUGUGCAUGCAUCAAGAAGAAAAAUGAAAACUGAUUUUGUGCAACAUUUCCACUGUUCUUGGAAGAAUGAAAUAAAUGCAUAUGAGCUAUGAA